Molecule: unclassified non-coding RNA, 148 nt
Organism: Pongo abelii (Sumatran orangutan)
Lineage: Eukaryota; Metazoa; Chordata; Mammalia; Primates; Hominidae
Rfam family: Metazoan signal recognition particle RNA
About the family: The signal recognition particle (SRP) is a universally conserved ribonucleoprotein.
Source: Ensembl
GCCGGGCGCGGUGGCGGGCGCCUGUAAUCCCAGCUACUUGGGAGGCUGAGGCAGGAGAAUAGCUUGAACCCGGGAGGCAGAGGUUGCAGUGAGCCUAGAUCGCGCCACUGCACUCCAGCCUGGGUGACAGAGCAAGACUCUUCCUUAA